This 407-nucleotide ribosomal RNA is filed under the name uncultured bacterium. RNAcentral describes it as "partial 16S ribosomal RNA". It matches the Rfam family "Bacterial small subunit ribosomal RNA", at positions 28 to 526 of the family's 1533-position model. The record is from RNAcentral.
GACGAACGCUGGCGGCGUGCCUAAUACAUGCAAGUAGGACGCAGUUGCGAACGGGUGAGUAACGCGUAGGUAACUACCUAUUAGAGGGGGAUAACUAUUGGAAACGAUAGCUAAUACCGCAUACUAGUAGAUGGAACUGCGUUGUAUUAGCUAGUAGGUAGGGUAAUGGCCUACCUAGGCAACGAUACAUAGCCGAACUGGGAGGGGGGUCGGCCACACUGGGAAUUGGGAAAGGCCCAGACGCCGACGGGAGGCAGCAGUAGGGAAUCUUCGGCAAGUGGGGGAAACCUGACCGAGAAAAGACGCGUGAGUGAAGAAGGUUUUCGGAUCGGAAAGCGCUGUUGUUAAGGAAGCGGUACUUAACCAGAAAGGGACGGCUAACUACGUGCCAGCAGCCGCGGUAAUUC